Molecule: ribosomal RNA, 254 nt
Filed under: uncultured bacterium
Lineage: Bacteria
Description: partial 16S ribosomal RNA
Rfam family: Bacterial small subunit ribosomal RNA
Source: RNAcentral
UACGUAGGGUGCAAGCGUUAAUCGGAAUUACUGGGCGUAAAGCGUGCGCAGGCGGUGGUGUAAGACAGAUGUGAAAUCCCCGGGCUUAACCUGGGAACUGCAUUUGUGACUGCAUCGCUGGAGUGCGGCAGAGGGGGAUGGAAUUCCGCGUGUAGCAGUGAAAUGCGUAGAUAUGCGGAGGAACACCGAUGGCGAAGGCAAUCCCCGUGGGCCGAUACUGACGCUGAGGAGCGAAAGCGUGGGGAGCGAACAGG